UGUUCAUAGGUGUGUGGAUUUAUGUCUGGGUCUUUGAUUAGAUUCCAUUGAUCCACCUGUCUGUUUUUACGCCAAUACCAUCAGCAAUAGGUUCUUAUAUCAAGUUCUGAAUAGUAGCAAAGAGCAAUAUCCUUAUAUUUGGGAGUCUAUGGCACCUCCUCUCCUGAAUUAAUUUUGAAAUCUCACAGGUGUCUUUCUUGAUUUUCCAUUUGUAAUAUAUGCUUUCAAGGUAUUCCCAAAUCACUCUCUGGAUAUCAUUAGCACAUAUUGUAAUGCCUCCCUAGUCAACUGUAAAUGUAUUCAUUUCAAAAAAUGAAUACAAUAAUAACAUAUAUAAAAUAAUAAACAAUAAAAUAUUUAAAAGUUUAAAAGUAAUACCAAAUAACUUUAGGGGAGAGUAACAAAAGGUGAAGAACUAAUACAUCUCAUCCAAUAAAAAAUAUUUUUGCAUGAAAUCUUUUUGAUAGUAAAUAAAAAGAUACAAGCAUAUGACUCAAUCCUUCUCUUUUGAAUACAAACAGAUCAGCAGCAGAAUAUCUGAAUACUCUGGAGAUUGCUAGAUGAAAACAUAAGGAGUGAAUUUCAAACUAUAACUACAGAGAAGGACCUUCUGAACAAGAAUGCAGUCGCUUGGGAAAUAAACAAGAUUUGAUGCAUAAGCCAACAUAACACUUAGAAGCUUCUGCACAGGCUUCAUGGUUCCAGCUAAUGCAUCAAAUACAAUAAUGAAAAGGACUGGGCAUAGUGGACAGCACUGAUUAUUUUCAGAUUUGAUUGGGAUUGAUUCAAGUUCUUCUCCACUGAACCUGACGCUGCCCGUGGGUUUGUCAUAGAAACCUCCAUUCUAUUGAGGUACCAUAGGACUUUUAUCAAAAAAAGCAUGUUGGAUUUUAUCAAAGGCUUUUUCUACAUCUUUUAAGAUCAUCAUGUGAUCUUUGCCUUGA
Long non-coding RNA from Peromyscus eremicus (cactus mouse), 944 nucleotides. RefSeq lists it as uncharacterized. Lineage: Eukaryota; Metazoa; Chordata; Mammalia; Rodentia; Cricetidae. The transcript has 2 exons. The record is from RefSeq and is a predicted model, not a curated record.